RNAcentral lists this microRNA precursor (87 nucleotides) under Colobus angolensis palliatus. RNAcentral's name for it is "miRNA (ENSCANG00000018665.1)". The record is from RNAcentral. Lineage: Eukaryota; Metazoa; Chordata; Mammalia; Primates; Cercopithecidae.
UAUUGGGUUGGUGCAAAAAUAAUUGCAGUUUUUCCCAUGAAAAGUAAUGGCAAAAACUGCAAUUACUUUUACACCAACCUAAUAUUU